UUAAGCGACUAAGCGUACACGGUGGAUGCCCUGGCAGUCAGAGGCGAUGAAGGACGUGCUAAUCUGCGAUAAGCGUCGGUAAGGUGAUAUGAACCGUUAUAACCGGCGAUUUCCGAAUGGGGAAACCCAGUGUGAUUCGUCACACUAUCAUUAACUGAAUCCAUAGGUUAAUGAGGCGAACCGGGGGAACUGAAACAUCUAAGUACCCCGAGGAAAAGAAAUCAACCGAGAUUCCCCCAGUAGCGGCGAGCGAACGGGGAGCAGCCCAGAGCCUGAAUCAGUGUGUGUGUUAGUGGAAGCGUCUGGAAAGGCGCGCGAUACAGGGUGACAGCCCCGUACACAAAAAUGCACAUGCUGUGAGCUCGAUGAGUAGGGCGGGACACGUGGUAUCCUGUCUGAAUAUGGGGGGACCAUCCUCCAAGGCUAAAUACUCCUGACUGACCGAUAGUGAACCAGUACCGUGAGGGAAAGGCGAAAAGAACCCCGGCGAGGGGAGUGAAAAAGAACCUGAAACCGUGUACGUACAAGCAGUGGGAGCACGCUUAGGCGUGUGACUGCGUACCUUUUGUAUAAUGGGUCAGCGACUUAUAUUCUGUAGCAAGGUUAACCGAAUAGGGGAGCCGAAGGGAAACCGAGUCUUAACUGGGCGUUAAGUUGCAGGGUAUAGACCCGAAACCCGGUGAUCUAGCCAUGGGCAGGUUGAAGGUUGGGUAACACUAACUGGAGGACCGAACCGACUAAUGUUGAAAAAUUAGCGGAUGACUUGUGGCUGGGGGUGAAAGGCCAAUCAAACCGGGAGAUAGCUGGUUCUCCCCGAAAGCUAUUUAGGUAGCGCCUCGUGAAUUCAUCUCCGGGGGUAGAGCACUGUUUCGGCAAGGGGGUCAUCCCGACUUACCAACCCGAUGCAAACUGCGAAUACCGGAGAAUGUUAUCACGGGAGACACACGGCGGGUGCUAACGUCCGUCGUGAAGAGGGAAACAACCCAGACCGCCAGCUAAGGUCCCAAAGUCAUGGUUAAGUGGGAAACGAUGUGGGAAGGCCCAGACAGCCAGGAUGUUGGCUUAGAAGCAGCCAUCAUUUAAAGAAAGCGUAAUAGCUCACUGGUCGAGUCGGCCUGCGCGGAAGAUGUAACGGGGCUAAACCAUGCACCGAAGCUGCGGCAGCGACGCUUAUGCGUUGUUGGGUAGGGGAGCGUUCUGUAAGCCUGCGAAGGUGUGCUGUGAGGCAUGCUGGAGGUAUCAGAAGUGCGAAUGCUGACAUAAGUAACGAUAAAGCGGGUGAAAAGCCCGCUCGCCGGAAGACCAAGGGUUCCUGUCCAACGUUAAUCGGGGCAGGGUGAGUCGACCCCUAAGGCGAGGCCGAAAGGCGUAGUCGAUGGGAAACAGGUUAAUAUUCCUGUACUUGGUGUUACUGCGAAGGGGGGACGGAGAAGGCUAUGUUGGCCGGGCGACGGUUGUCCCGGUUUAAGCGUGUAGGCUGGUUUUCCAGGCAAAUCCGGAAAAUCAAGGCUGAGGCGUGAUGACGAGGCACUACGGUGCUGAAGCAACAAAUGCCCUGCUUCCAGGAAAAGCCUCUAAGCAUCAGGUAACAUCAAAUCGUACCCCAAACCGACACAGGUGGUCAGGUAGAGAAUACCAAGGCGCUUGAGAGAACUCGGGUGAAGGAACUAGGCAAAAUGGUGCCGUAACUUCGGGAGAAGGCACGCUGAUAUGUAGGUGAAGUGAUUUACUCAUGGAGCUGAAAUCAGUCGAAGAUACCAGCUGGCUGCAACUGUUUAUUAAAAACACAGCACUGUGCAAACACGAAAGUGGACGUAUACGGUGUGACGCCUGCCCGGUGCCGGAAGGUUAAUUGAUGGGGUCAGCGCAAGCGAAGCUCUUGAUCGAAGCCCCGGUAAACGGCGGCCGUAACUAUAACGGUCCUAAGGUAGCGAAAUUCCUUGUCGGGUAAGUUCCGACCUGCACGAAUGGCGUAAUGAUGGCCAGGCUGUCUCCACCCGAGACUCAGUGAAAUUGAACUCGCUGUGAAGAUGCAGUGUACCCGCGGCAAGACGGAAAGACCCCGUGAACCUUUACUAUAGCUUGACACUGAACAUUGAGCCUUGAUGUGUAGGAUAGGUGGGAGGCUUUGAAGUGUGGACGCCAGUCUGCAUGGAGCCGACCUUGAAAUACCACCCUUUAAUGUUUGAUGUUCUAACGUGGACCCGUAAUCCGGGUUGCGGACAGUGUCUGGUGGGUAGUUUGACUGGGGCGGUCUCCUCCUAAAGAGUAACGGAGGAGCACGAAGGUUGGCUAAUCCUGGUCGGACAUCAGGAGGUUAGUGCAAUGGCAUAAGCCAGCUUGACUGCGAGCGUGACGGCGCGAGCAGGUGCGAAAGCAGGUCAUAGUGAUCCGGUGGUUCUGAAUGGAAGGGCCAUCGCUCAACGGAUAAAAGGUACUCCGGGGAUAACAGGCUGAUACCGCCCAAGAGUUCAUAUCGACGGCGGUGUUUGGCACCUCGAUGUCGGCUCAUCACAUCCUGGGGCUGAAGUAGGUCCCAAGGGUAUGGCUGUUCGCCAUUUAAAGUGGUACGCGAGCUGGGUUUAGAACGUCGUGAGACAGUUCGGUCCCUAUCUGCCGUGGGCGCUGGAGAACUGAGGGGGGCUGCUCCUAGUACGAGAGGACCGGAGUGGACGCAUCACUGGUGUUCGGGUUGUCAUGCCAAUGGCACUGCCCGGUAGCUAAAUGCGGAAGAGAUAAGUGCUGAAAGCAUCUAAGCACGAAACUUGCCCCGAGAUGAGUUCUCCCUGACUCCUUGAGAGUCCUGAAGGAACGUUGAAGACGACGACGUUGAUAGGCCGGGUGUGUAAGCGCAGCGAUGCGUUGAGCUAACCGGUACUAAUGAACCGUGAGGCUUAACCU
This 2901-nucleotide ribosomal RNA is filed under the name Escherichia coli. Its description in RNAcentral is "23S ribosomal RNA". It matches the Rfam family "Bacterial large subunit ribosomal RNA". The record is from RNAcentral. Lineage: Bacteria; Pseudomonadati; Pseudomonadota; Gammaproteobacteria; Enterobacterales; Enterobacteriaceae.